This 2927-nucleotide ribosomal RNA is filed under the name Klebsiella aerogenes. RNAcentral describes it as "bacterial LSU rRNA". It matches the Rfam family "Bacterial large subunit ribosomal RNA". Lineage: Bacteria; Pseudomonadati; Pseudomonadota; Gammaproteobacteria; Enterobacterales; Enterobacteriaceae. The record is from RNAcentral.
GGGUUGUGAGGUUAAGCGACUAAGCGUACACGGUGGAUGCCCUGGCAGUCAGAGGCGAUGAAGGACGUGCUAAUCUGCGAAAAGCGUCGGUAAGGUGAUAUGAACCGUUACAGCCGGCGAUGUCCGAAUGGGGAAACCCAGUGUGAUUCGUCACACUAUCGUUAACUGAAUACAUAGGUUAACGAGGCGAACCGGGGGAACUGAAACAUCUAAGUACCCCGAGGAAAAGAAAUCAACCGAGAUUCCCCCAGUAGCGGCGAGCGAACGGGGAGCAGCCCAGAGUCUGAAUCAGCUUGUGUGUUAGUGGAACGGUCUGGAAAGUCCGACGGUACAGGGUGAUAGUCCCGUACACCAAAAUGCACAGGCUGUGAACUCGAAGAGUAGGGCGGGACACGUGGUAUCCUGUCUGAAUAUGGGGGGACCAUCCUCCAAGGCUAAAUACUCCUGACUGACCGAUAGUGAACCAGUACCGUGAGGGAAAGGCGAAAAGAACCCCGGCGAGGGGAGUGAAAAAGAACCUGAAACCGUGUACGUACAAGCAGUGGGAGCACCUUUAUGGUGUGACUGCGUACCUUUUGUAUAAUGGGUCAGCGACUUAUAUUCUGUAGCAAGGUUAACCGUAUAGGGGAGCCGCAGGGAAACCGAGUCUUAACUGGGCGUUAAGUUGCAGGGUAUAGACCCGAAACCCGGUGAUCUAGCCAUGGGCAGGUUGAAGGUUGGGUAACACUAACUGGAGGACCGAACCGACUAAUGUUGAAAAAUUAGCGGAUGACUUGUGGCUGGGGGUGAAAGGCCAAUCAAACCGGGAGAUAGCUGGUUCUCCCCGAAAGCUAUUUAGGUAGCGCCUCGUGAAUUCAUCUUCGGGGGUAGAGCACUGUUUCGGCUAGGGGGUCAUCCCGACUUACCAACCCGAUGCAAACUACGAAUACCGAAGAAUGUUAUCACGGGAGACACACGGCGGGUGCUAACGUCCGUCGUGAAGAGGGAAACAACCCAGACCGCCAGCUAAGGUCCCAAAGUCACAGUUAAGUGGGAAACGAUGUGGGAAGGCACAGACAGCCAGGAUGUUGGCUUAGAAGCAGCCAUCAUUUAAAGAAAGCGUAAUAGCUCACUGGUCGAGUCGGCCUGCGCGGAAGAUGUAACGGGGCUAAACUGUGCACCGAAGCUGCGGCAGCGACACUUAGGUGUUGUUGGGUAGGGGAGCGUUCUGUAAGCCUGCGAAGGUGGCCUGUGAGGGUUGCUGGAGGUAUCAGAAGUGCGAAUGCUGACAUAAGUAACGAUAAUGCGGGUGAAAAGCCCGCACGCCGGAAGACCAAGGGUUCCUGUCCAACGUUAAUCGGGGCAGGGUGAGUCGACCCCUAAGGCGAGGCCGAAAGGCGUAGUCGAUGGGAAACAGGUUAAUAUUCCUGUACUUGGUGUUACUGCGAAGGGGGGACGGAGAAGGCUAUGUUAGCCGGGCGACGGUUGUCCCGGUUUAAGCAUGUAGGCGGAGGUUCCAGGUAAAUCCGGUACCUUUUAACGCUGAGGUGUGAUGACGAGGCACUACGGUGCUGAAGUAACAAAUGCCCUGCUUCCAGGAAAAGCCUCUAAGCAUCAGGUAACAUUGAAUCGUACCCCAAACCGACACAGGUGGUCAGGUAGAGAAUACCAAGGCGCUUGAGAGAACUCGGGUGAAGGAACUAGGCAAAAUGGUGCCGUAACUUCGGGAGAAGGCACGCUGAUAUGUAGGUGAAGCCCCUGCGGGUGGAGCUGAAAUCAGUCGAAGAUACCAGCUGGCUGCAACUGUUUAUUAAAAACACAGCACUGUGCAAACACGAAAGUGGACGUAUACGGUGUGACGCCUGCCCGGUGCCGGAAGGUUAAUUGAUGGGGUUAUCCGUAAGGAGAAGCUCUUGAUCGAAGCCCCGGUAAACGGCGGCCGUAACUAUAACGGUCCUAAGGUAGCGAAAUUCCUUGUCGGGUAAGUUCCGACCUGCACGAAUGGCGUAAUGAUGGCCAGGCUGUCUCCACCCGAGACUCAGUGAAAUUGAACUCGCUGUGAAGAUGCAGUGUACCCGCGGCAAGACGGAAAGACCCCGUGAACCUUUACUAUAGCUUGACACUGAACAUUGAGCCUUGAUGUGUAGGAUAGGUGGGAGGCUUUGAAGCGUGGACGCCAGUCUGCGUGGAGCCAACCUUGAAAUACCACCCUUUAAUGUUUGAUGUUCUAACGUUGGCCCCUAAUCGGGGUUGCGGACAGUGUCUGGUGGGUAGUUUGACUGGGGCGGUCUCCUCCCAAAGAGUAACGGAGGAGCACGAAGGUUAGCUAAUCCUGGUCGGACAUCAGGAGGUUAGUGCAAUGGCAUAAGCUAGCUUGACUGCGAGCGUGACGGCGCGAGCAGGUGCGAAAGCAGGUCAUAGUGAUCCGGUGGUUCUGAAUGGAAGGGCCAUCGCUCAACGGAUAAAAGGUACUCCGGGGAUAACAGGCUGAUACCGCCCAAGAGUUCAUAUCGACGGCGGUGUUUGGCACCUCGAUGUCGGCUCAUCACAUCCUGGGGCUGAAGUAGGUCCCAAGGGUAUGGCUGUUCGCCAUUUAAAGUGGUACGCGAGCUGGGUUUAGAACGUCGUGAGACAGUUCGGUCCCUAUCUGCCGUGGGCGCUGGAGAAUUGAGGGGGGCUGCUCCUAGUACGAGAGGACCGGAGUGGACGCAUCACUGGUGUUCGGGUUGUCAUGCCAAUGGCAUUGCCCGGUAGCUAAAUGCGGAAGAGAUAAGUGCUGAAAGCAUCUAAGCACGAAACUUGCCCCGAGAUGAGUUCUCCCUGAGACUUUAAGUCUCCUGAAGGAACGUUAAAGACGAUGACGUUGAUAGGUCGGGUGUGUAAGCGUAGCGAUACGUUGAGCUAACCGAUACUAAUGAACCGUGAGGCUUAACCUUACAACGCCGAAG